RNAcentral lists this ribosomal RNA (468 nucleotides) under uncultured bacterium. RNAcentral's name for it is "partial 16S ribosomal RNA". It matches the Rfam family "Bacterial small subunit ribosomal RNA", at positions 28 to 507 of the family's 1533-position model. The record is from RNAcentral.
GACGAACGCUGGCGGCGUGCUUAACACAUGCAAGUCGAACGGAAAGGCCCUGCUCUUGUGGGGUGCUUGUGUGGCGAACGGGUGAGUAACACGUGUGUAACCUGCCCCUGACUUUGGGAUAACUCUUGGAAACUGCGGCUAUUACCGGAUAGGAGCUUCUGCAGCAUGUUGGGGGUAGGAAAGUUUCGGCGGUUGGGGAUGGACUCGCGGCUUAUCAGCUUGUUGGUGGGGUAGUGGCUUACCAAGGCUUUGACGGGUAGCCGGCCUGAGAGGUUAACCGGCCACAUGGGGACUGAGAGACGGACCAGACUCGAACGGUAGGCAGCGGGGGAGAGUAUUGCACAGUAGGCGGAAGCCUGAUGCGGCAACGCCGCGAGCGGAAAAACGGCCUACGGGUUGAAAACCGCUUUCGCAUGAGACGAAGCGAGAGUGACGGUAAUGAGUAAGAAAGCACCGGCUAACUACGUG